AACGAACGCUGGCGGCAUGCCUAACACAUGCAAGUCGAACGAGACCUUCGGGUAUUUUUGCGCACGGGUGCGUCACGCGUCGGAACCUGCCCUUAGGUUCGGACUAACUCUCCGAAAGGGGUGCUAAUACGGGACAAUGUCUUCGGACGCAAGAUUUAUCUACUUUGAAUGGGUCCGCGUUGGAUUAGCUAGUUGGUAACGUAAAAGUCUACCCAGGCUACGAUACAUAGCUGGUCUGAUAGGAUGAUCAGCAACACUGGGAGUGUGACACGGCUCAGACUCUUACGAAAGGCAGCAGUGGGGAAUAUGGGACACUGGGCGAAAGCCUGAUCCAGCAAUGCCGCGUGAGUGAUGAAGGCGUGAGGGUUGUAAAGCUCUUUUAACCGGGAAGAUAAUGACAGUACCGAGAGAAUAAGCUCCGGCUAACUCCGUG
RNAcentral lists this ribosomal RNA (433 nucleotides) under uncultured bacterium. RNAcentral describes it as "partial 16S ribosomal RNA". It matches the Rfam family "Bacterial small subunit ribosomal RNA", at positions 29 to 507 of the family's 1533-position model. The record is from RNAcentral.